Molecule: ribosomal RNA, 1635 nt
Filed under: Triticum aestivum (bread wheat)
Lineage: Eukaryota; Viridiplantae; Streptophyta; Magnoliopsida; Poales; Poaceae
Description: partial small subunit ribosomal RNA
Source: RNAcentral
AUGCUGCGCCGGAAGUCGCCGUUCGCGGCGGCGCCUGCGGCCGCCAAGCAGGGGGAGGGGGAGGAGGCGCCCGCGCGCAGGCCCGGCGCGCCGCUCUCGCUCGCGGGCCUCCUCGUCUCCAUCUUCCUCGUCGCCAUCUUCCUCUACAACGAGGACUCCGCCGCCGUCAAGGCCCCCAUCGCCGCCGACGCCGCGGCCGGGGACUUCCCGCUCGCCGGGGCCUCGCGCGCCCGGUCCGCCCCCGACCUCCACCUCCUCCACGAGGUCAACCCCCGCCCCCAGCAGCAGCAGCAAGAGGGGAACGGCGAGGAGGAGGGGCAGCGUCGCCAUGUGGAGCAGGUGGAGAGCAGGAGGAAAGCGAGCGACGGCGACAGGGUGGACGCGCCCGCGAGAGCAGACAAGCGGGCCGCCCCCGCCACGACGACGACCGCGACGCCUCCUCCCAGCAGCGGCGGCAACACCAGCACCACGAGCAGCAGAGCGGCGGUGGCGGCGCCGGAGCCGGCGGCGUGCAACCUGUACCAGGGGUGGUGGACGUACGACGCGGAGGCGUCGCAGGUGCCGCUGUACCGCGAGGCGGAGUGCGAGUUCCUGACGGAGCAGGUGACGUGCAUGCGCAACGGCCGGCGCGACGACUCGUACCAGCGGUGGCGCUGGCAGCCCUCCUCCUGCGACCUCCCCAGGUUCGACGCGCGGGUGCUGCUGGAGCGGCUGCGGAACAAGAGGCUGAUGUUCGUGGGGGACUCGCUGAACCGGAACCAGUGGGAGUCGAUGGUGUGCCUGGUGUCGUCGGCGAUCCCUGCGCGGGACAAGAAGUCCCUGGCCAAGUUCGUCGGGCCCAACGGCUCUCUCAACGUGUUCAGGGCGGCGGAGUACAACGCGACGGUGGAGUUCUACUGGGCGCCGUUCCUGGUGAGCUCCAACUCGGACGACCCGCAGGCGCACAGCGUGGCGGACCGCGUGAUCGCGUGGCGGUCCAUCGCCAAGCACGCCCGGCACUGGCGCGCCGCCCACUUGCUCGUCUUCAACACCUACAUCUGGUGGCUCAACAACUUCGAGAUGAAAGUGCUGAAGAACCCUCGGGCGAUGCCGGACAAGUACACGCUGGUGGACCGGCCGGUGGCGUACAAGGAGGUGCUCAAGACGUGGGCCAAGUGGGUGGACCGGCACGUCGACCCCGGCCGGACCAAGGUCUUCUUCAUGGGCAUGUCGCCCAACCACGGCGUGCCGGAGGCGUGGGGCGGGGGGCCGGGCGCCAUCAAGUGCGCCAUGGAGACGCAGCCGAUCCUCAACCACACGGGCCCGCUCUACAUCGGCACCGACUGGCGGCUGCACGGCGCGGCGGAGGCGGUGCUGCGCACCAUGCGCCGCGUGCCCGUCCACCUCGUCGACAUCACCGCGCUCUCCGAGUUCCGCAAGGACGCGCACACCUCCGUGCACACGCUCAGGCAGGGGAAGCUGCUGACCCCCGAGCAGCAGGCCGACCCGCGCACCUACGCCGACUGCAUCCACUGGUGCCUCCCGGGCCUCCCCGACACCUGGAACCACUUCCUCUACGCCCAGAUCGUCGCCGCCCCUCCGCCGCCGCCGGCGCAGGCGCAGCCCCUUCCGCAGUCGUCGUCGUCGUCGUUGUAG